CUCUAUCUGUAAAUUAUAGGGUGGUCUAGACCUGCUCUAUCUGUAAACUAUAGAGCGGUCUAGACCUGCUCUAUCUGUAAAUUAUAGAGCGGUCUAAACCUACUCUAUCUGUAAAUUAUAGAGUGGUCUAAACCUGUUCUGUCUGUAAAUUAUAGAGCGGUCUAGACCUGCUCUAUCUGUAAAUUAUAGAGCGGUCUAGACCUACUCUAUCUGUAAAUUAUAGAGCGGUCUAAACCUACUCUAUCUCUAAAUGACAGAGUGUGGUCUAGACCUGUUCUAACUGUAAAUUACAGAGUGGUGUAGACCUGCUCUAUCUGUAAAUUAUAGAGCGGUCUAGACCUACUCUAUCUGUAAAUUAUAGAGUGUGGUCUAGACCUGCUCUAUCUGUAAAUCAUAGAGCGGUCUAGACCUACUCUAUCUGUAAAUUAU
This is a long non-coding RNA of Etheostoma cragini (Arkansas darter), 429 nucleotides long. RefSeq lists it as uncharacterized. NCBI's taxonomy places the organism in Eukaryota, Metazoa, Chordata, Actinopteri, Perciformes, Percidae. The transcript is spliced from 3 exons. The record is from RefSeq and is a predicted model, not a curated record.